UACGGAGGAUGCGAGCGUUAUCCGGAUUUAUUGGGUUUAAAGGGUGCGUAGGCGGGUUAUCAAGUCAGCGGUAAAAUCGUGGAGCUCAACUCCAUCCAGCCGUUGAAACUGAUGAUCUUGAGUGGGCGAGAAGUAUGCGGAAUGCGUGGUGUAGCGGUGAAAUGCAUAGAUAUCACGCAGAACUCCGAUUGCGAAGGCGGCAUACCGGCGCCCGACUGACGCUGAAGCACGAAAGCGUGGGUAUCGAACAGG
RNAcentral lists this ribosomal RNA (252 nucleotides) under uncultured bacterium. RNAcentral describes it as "partial 16S ribosomal RNA". It matches the Rfam family "Bacterial small subunit ribosomal RNA", at positions 524 to 776 of the family's 1533-position model. The record is from RNAcentral.